GAAGGCUGGAGCCAACAGGAAUUGCUUCCAUGGUCGUGGAAUUUUACUGUUUACAGAGACUUCCCUGGGAGGGCUAACUGGGUCAUACCUGCUUUGGGACUUUGGGGCUCAGAGGCAAUGGCAACAUCACAUUUGUCCUUGUGAGAUGAGUUUGAGCGGUGGCUGACACCUGCCCUGUACCAGGUACUAAAUUUGGUUCUGGGGAUACUAUCACCAGUGAGCUGCGUUGGAAAGCUCAUUGUCGGCAGAGGAAACAGGAGAAAACACGCAACAAUACAGUAUUCCAAACAGCAGUGGGUCACUGUCUUUACUUUAGGAUUCAUAAAGCCUGUUAAUGGGUGUGCUGGGGGCACUGUCAUGUUCUUCAGCAUGCUGCCUGGGAGAGGAGGAGGCCCUUCCUAGGGUCUGACCUGGCUUCCCUUCCCAGGUGGGUGCAGGUGGCAUGUCCACGUCUCUCCAUUGACUGGGGCACAGCCUUCCCCAAGCCGCUGCUGACACCCUAUGAGGUAACACCAAGCUCUGGGAGAGAGUGGGCUUUGGACGUGGUUCUCAAAGGUGAGGUCUGGGGUGGAGUGGAGUGGGGUGGGUGGGCAGCAUUUCGUUAUGUUCAUAGAUUGCGGAGUCUGUCUCGAUUUCUCCAACGGAGUCACUUCCUAGCUGUGUAGCCUUAGGCAAGGCCCUGAACCUCUCUGAACCACACAUUUCCCUUCUGUGGCAGGGGACAGUGUGCCCUUCACAGGCCGUCGUGAGGACUGAAUUCAGUAAUCCGGGAGCAGAAAAACACUGGCAAAUGUUAUUGUCCGCUCCCUCCCCUCCCCUAGGCGGCCGUGGCUCUGAGGGACAUUUCCUGGCAGCAGCCCUACCCGAUGGACUUCUACGCUGGCAGCUCCUUGGGGCCCUGGACGGUGAACCACGGCCAGGACCGCCGUCCCCACGCCCCCGGCCGGCCCGCGCGGGGGAAGGUGCAGGAGGAGUCCACGCAUCCCCCUUCAGCCGUGACUUGCGAGGACUGCAGCUGCAGGGACGAGAAGGUGGCGCCGCUUGCUCCUUGACACGCUGCCGGGCCUCAGGUAUCCGCCCCUGCUCUGGCUGCGCCCCGCCUAUUGCCGUUGUCAUGGGAACGCCUUGGCGCUCCGAGGCCCGCCCUCGGGGCGGUGCCGACGUUUGGUUACGCCCCUUGCGUUGUGCUUCCGCUCGGGGGAAGACCGCUUCCGGUGCUUCCGGCGCUCCUUGCCCGGCAUAAUGGCCGCGCAGCGACCCCUGCGGGUCCUGUGUCUGGCGGGCUUCCGGCAGAGCGAGCGGGGCUUCCGUGAGAAGACCGGGGCGCUGAGGAAGGCGCUGCGGGACCGCGCCGAGCUCGUGUGCCUCAGCGGCCCGCACCCGGUCCCCUACCCCCCGAGCCCCGAGGGCGCCAGAUCAGACUUCGGUGAGACAAGCCCCGCUCCGGAAAUGCACUCGGUUUUCUCCAUCUUGUUUCGUCCCCCUCGACACCCUUCAGCAUCCCCCACCCUGCGUCCACCCUCAUUCCUCCCACCCAGUCCACACCCUUCAUUUCUCGCGGCCCAUAUACCCUCUUUGCUCAAACUGCAGCCUGUCCUCCCAGGCUUCCGCCUUCAUUGUCUUCCUCCGCUGUCUCCUGUUCAGGCCAAUCCAUUCAUUCCCCCCUCUCAUUUCCCCCAGACUUUCGCCUCGAUUCCCUCUCUUUUCCUCUCUGUCAUCUCGAACCCUCCUGCCCUUUCUCAUUUCUUUCCUUCCUGGAGCCUCCCAUGCCCUAAUCCCAUCCUCUUUCCUCCUAUCGCUGUAGGGUCCUGCCCUCCGGAGGAGCAGCCUCGAGGCUGGUGGUUUUCAGAGCAGGAGGCCGACGUUUUCUCCGCAUUGGAAGAGCCCGCCGUAUGCAGGGGCCUGGAGGAAUCACUGGGGAUGGUGGCACAGGCACUGAACAGGCUGGGGCCUUUUGACGGCCUUCUUGGUUUCAGCCAAGGGGCUGCGCUAGCAGCCCUUGUGUGUGCCCUGGGCCAGGCAGGCGAUCCCCGCUUCCCCUUGCCACGGUUUAUCAUCUUGGUGUCUGGUUUCCGUCCCCGGGGCAUUGGGUUCAAGGAAUCCAUCCUGCAAAAGCCCUUGUCAUUGCCUUCGCUCCAUGUUUUUGGGGACACUGACAAAGUCAUCCCCUCUCAGGAGAGUAUGCAACUGGCCAGCCGAUUUCCCGGAGCCAUCACCCUCACCCACUCUGGUGGCCACUUCAUUCCAGCAGCUGCACCCCAGCGUCAGGCCUACCUCAAGUUCUUGGACCAGUUUGCAGAGUGAAAGAUCAAGAAAUGUCUCUGCUCCUACAUCCAGCUCCUGUAGGGGUAGCCUCCAUCAUCUGUGCCCUCCCAGGACCCCCCACUCACUGCUGUGAGUGUGCCUCACCAGGACCAGUUAAGAGACAACUAUCAAUUCUUGAUACCCAAAUUAUAUAGGCCCUGCCCUGUAUUGAAGAAAAGGGGAGCACAAGGCCUUAAUGGACACUGACUUGUGAAAACUCAAACAUGAAUAUGGUUAGAGCCCUGGAUUAGGAGGGUGACAUGGGGAAGGCAGAGGCUGGCACCAUGGUGACUGCCACAUAAUAAAGUGGUGAUUUGG
RNAcentral lists this small RNA (2622 nucleotides) under Pongo abelii (Sumatran orangutan). Its description in RNAcentral is "retained intron". Lineage: Eukaryota; Metazoa; Chordata; Mammalia; Primates; Hominidae. The record is from RNAcentral.